Molecule: non-coding RNA, 73 nt
Organism: Stegodyphus mimosarum
Lineage: Eukaryota; Metazoa; Arthropoda; Arachnida; Araneae; Eresidae
Source: Rfam
GCCUUCGUAGUGUAAUGGUCAGUACACUCGGCGAGCAUUCUAGAGAUCCGAGGUUCGAGUCCCGGCAAGGGCA